This 515-nucleotide ribosomal RNA is filed under the name uncultured archaeon. RNAcentral's name for it is "bacterial SSU rRNA". It matches the Rfam family "Archaeal small subunit ribosomal RNA", at positions 345 to 859 of the family's 1478-position model. The record is from RNAcentral.
AACCUUUACACUGCACGACAGUGCGAUAGGGGGACACCGAGUGCGAGGGCAUAGGGCCCUCGCUUUUGUAGACCGUAAGGAGGUCUACGAAUAAGGGCUGGGCAAGACCGGUGCCAGCCGCCGCGGUAACACCGGCAGCCCGAGUGAUGGCCGAUAUUAUUGGGCCUAAAGCGUCCGUAGCUGGCCGCACAAGUCCGUCGGGAAAUCCACUCGCUUAACGAGUGGGCGUCCGGCGGAAACUGUGCGGCUUGGGACCGGAAGAUCCGAGGGGUACGUCCGGGGUAGGAGUGAAAUCCCGUAAUCCUGGACGGACCACCGAUGGCGAAAGCACCUCGGAAGGACGGAUCCGACAGUGAGGGACGAAAGCUAGGGUCUCGAACCGGAUUAGAUACCCGGGUAGUCCUAGCCGUAAACAAUGCCUGCUAGGUGUGGCUCCCACUACGAGUGGGUGCUGUGCCGUAGGGAAGCCGCUAAGCAGGCCGCCUGGGAAGUACGUCCGCAAGGAUGAAACUUAA